Molecule: transfer RNA, 71 nt
Filed under: bovine gut metagenome
Rfam family: tRNA
About the family: Transfer RNA (tRNA) molecules are approximately 80 nucleotides in length. Their secondary structure includes four short double-helical elements and three loops (D, anti-codon, and T loops). Further hydrogen bonds mediate the characteristic L-shaped molecular structure. tRNAs have two regions of fundamental functional importance: the anti-codon, which is responsible for specific mRNA codon recognition, and the 3' end, to which the tRNAs corresponding amino acid is attached (by aminoacyl-tRNA synthetases). tRNAs cope with the degeneracy of the genetic code in two manners: having more than one tRNA (with a specific anti-codon) for a particular amino acid; and 'wobble' base-pairing, i.e. permitting non-standard base-pairing at the 3rd anti-codon position.
Source: RNAcentral
GGGAAGUGGCUCAGUUGGGAGAGCGCCGCGUUCGCAAUGCGGAGGUCGUGGGUUCGAAUCCCAUCUUCUCC